ACUGGGCGUAAAGCGCGCGUAGGCGGUUUGUCAAGUUGGAUGUGAAAUCCCUGGGCUCAACCUAGGAACUGCAUUCAAAACUUAUAGACUAGAGUACGAUAGAGGAGAGUAGAAUUCCUGGUGUAGCGGUGAAAUGCGUAGAUAUCAGGAGGAAUACCAAUGGCGAAGGCAACUCUCUGGAUCGACACUGACGCUGAGGUGCGAAAGCGUGGGUAGCAAACAGGAUUAGAUACCCUGGUAGUCCACGCCGUAAACGAUGAGAACUAGCCGUUGGAUCUUAGAUUCAGUGGUACAGCUAACGCAUUAAGUUCUCCGCCUGGGGAGUACGGCCGCAAGGCUAAAACUCAAAUGAAUUGACGGGGGCCCGCACAAGCGGUGGAGCAUGUGGUUUAAUUCGAUGCAACGCGAAAAACCUUACCAACCCUUGACAUCUAGUGAAAUUUCUAGAGAUAGAUUUGUGCCUUCGGGAACACUAUGACAGGUGUUGCAUGGCUGUCGUCAGCUCGUGUCGUGAGAUGUAUGGUUAAGUCCAGUAACGAGCGCAACCCCUAUUCUUAUUUGCCAGCACUUCGGGUGGGAACUAUAAGGAGACCGCCGUGUAUAACACGGAGGAAGGCGGGGACGACGUCAAGUCAUCAUGGCCCUUACGGGUUGGGCUACACACGUGCUACAAUGGGAGAUACAGAUGGUUGCGAAAGCGCGAGCUGGAGCUAAUCCCAAAAAGUCUUCCUCAGUCCGGAUUGGAGUCUGCAACUCGACUCCAUGAAGCAGAAUCGCUAGUAAUCGUGAAUCAGAAUGUCACGGUGAAUACGUUCUCGGGCCUUGUACACACCGCCCGUCACGUCAUGGGAGUGUGUU
This 858-nucleotide ribosomal RNA is filed under the name marine metagenome. RNAcentral's name for it is "bacterial SSU rRNA". It matches the Rfam family "Bacterial small subunit ribosomal RNA", at positions 553 to 1416 of the family's 1533-position model. The record is from RNAcentral.